Long non-coding RNA from Mytilus trossulus (common blue mussel), 130 nucleotides. RefSeq lists it as uncharacterized. NCBI's taxonomy places the organism in Eukaryota, Metazoa, Mollusca, Bivalvia, Mytilida, Mytilidae. The record is from RefSeq and is a predicted model, not a curated record. The transcript has 4 exons.
CAGGUGCCACUGGCGAUCGUGGGGCUAACGGUAUACCAGGACACAAAGGACCUAACGGAGACACAGGCGCGCCAGGACAAGAUGGUAAACCGGGAGGUAAAGGACCUACCGGAAACCCAGGAACACCCGG